AUGAACGCUGGCGGCAUGCUUACACAUGCAAUUGAAGGCAGCACGGGGGCACCCUGGUGGCGAGUGGGGAACGGGUGAGUAAUACAUCGGAACGUGUCCUGUAGUGGGGGAUAGCCCGGCGAAAGCCGGAUUAAUACCGCAUACGCUCUGCGGAGGAAAGCGGGGGAUCCUUCGGGACCUCGCGCUACAGGGGCGGCCGAUGGCAGAUUAGCUAGUUGGUGGGGUAAAGGCCUACCAAGGCGACGAUCUGUAGCUG
Molecule: ribosomal RNA, 256 nt
Filed under: Burkholderia sp. ISO186_OTU134
Lineage: Bacteria; Pseudomonadati; Pseudomonadota; Betaproteobacteria; Burkholderiales; Burkholderiaceae
Description: partial 16S ribosomal RNA
Rfam family: Bacterial small subunit ribosomal RNA
Source: RNAcentral